Molecule: ribosomal RNA, 264 nt
Filed under: uncultured Desulfocapsa sp.
Lineage: Bacteria; Pseudomonadati; Thermodesulfobacteriota; Desulfobulbia; Desulfobulbales; Desulfocapsaceae
Description: partial 16S ribosomal RNA
Rfam family: Bacterial small subunit ribosomal RNA
Source: RNAcentral
GCCAUCAUUCAGUUGGGCACUCUAAAGAGACUGCCGGUGUCAAACCGGAGGAAGGUGGGAUGACGUCAAGUCCUCAUGGCCUUUAUGACCAGGGCUACACACGUACUACAAUGGCCGGUACAAGGGGCAGCCACUUAGCGAUAAGGAGCCAAUCCCGUAAAGCCGGUCUCAGUCCGGAUUGGAGUCUGCACCUCGACUCCAUGAAGUUGGAAUCGCUAGUAAUCGCAGAUCAGCACGCUGCGGUCGAAUACGUUCCCGGGCCUU